RNAcentral lists this long non-coding RNA (376 nucleotides) under Helianthus annuus (common sunflower). RNAcentral describes it as "sRNA HanXRQr2_Chr13g0569941". The record is from RNAcentral. Lineage: Eukaryota; Viridiplantae; Streptophyta; Magnoliopsida; Asterales; Asteraceae.
ACAAAAUCGAAGCAGAUCAUCUUCCCCCAAAAAAAACCUAAUCCCACAACGAAUCCCCUGCAACGACAAUCGUGGUUUGCACAUGUGGAGCCUCAUCCUGGGCAACGUCGAUUUCAUCGCUGUGGAUUUGUUGAAACAGUAGAAAUAAGAUAGUUCUAUUGUUCGUUUGGAAGGGUAAUGGUCACUCAAUGGUAACAAAAUGUGAAAGCCAAUUAGAAGGCAGCUGGACAGCACUGGAGGCUUGGAAAAGUGGCAAUAAAGUUACCUAAGAAUAAAAUGGAUGUUUUUAUUAAAUAAAUAGGAUUUAUUCCUAUGAAAUGUGUGUAUUGAAAACUUGGGUUUUACCCAUAUGUUUAGUAUUAUUAAACGAGGUGGU